AGUCGAACGGGGGACUUCGGUCUCUAGUGGCGGACGGGUGAGUAACGCGUGAGAAUCUGCCCUCAGGACGGGGAUAACGACUGGAAACGGUCGCUAAGACCCGAUGUGCCGAGAGGUGAAAUAUUUAUAGCCUGGGGAUGAGCUCGCGUCAGAUUAGGUAGUUGGAGUGGUAAAGGCACCCCAAGCCGACGAUCUGUAGCUGGUCUGAGAGGAUGAUCAGCCACACUGGAACUGAGACACGGUCCAGACUCCUACGGGAGGCAGCAGUGGGGAAUUUUCCGCAAUGGGCGAAAGCCUGACGGAGCAAGACCGCGUGAGGGAUGACGGUCUGUGGAUUGUAAACCUCUUUUCUCAGGGAAGAAUACUGACGGUACCUGAGGAAUCAGCCUCGGCUAACUCCGUGCCAGCAGCCGCGGUAAUACGGAGGAGGCAAGCGUUAUCCGGAAUCAUUGGGCGUAAAGCGUCCGUAGGUGGCGAUUCAAGUCAGUUGUCAAAGCGUGGUGCUCAACACCAUACGGGCAGUUGAAACUGAGUGGCUAGAGUGCGGUAGGGGCAGGGGGAAUUCCCAGUGUAGCGGUGAAAUGCGUAGAUAUUGGGAAGAACACCGGUGGCGAAGGCGCCCUGCUGGGCCUGCACUGACACUGAGGGACGAAAGCUAGGGGAGCGAAAGGGAUUAGAUACCCCUGUAGUCUUAGCUGUAAACGAUGGGUACUAGGUGUUGGCCGUAUCGACCCGGUC
This 738-nucleotide ribosomal RNA is filed under the name uncultured bacterium. RNAcentral's name for it is "bacterial SSU rRNA". It matches the Rfam family "Bacterial small subunit ribosomal RNA", at positions 60 to 841 of the family's 1533-position model. The record is from RNAcentral.